UACGUAGGAGGCGAGCGUUGUCCGGAUUUACUGGGCGUAAAGCGCGCGCAGGCGGCACUGUAAGUAAGGUGUGAAAUCUCCCUGCUCAACGGGGAGGGUGCAUUUUAGACUGCAGAGCUAGAGGACGGUAGAGGGGGGGUGGAAUUGCUGGUGUAGCGGUGAAAUGCGUAGAGAUCAGCAGGAACACCCGUGGCGAAGGCGGCCCCCUGGGCCGAACCUGACGCUGAGGCGCGAAGGCUAGGGGAGCGAACGGGG
This 255-nucleotide ribosomal RNA is filed under the name uncultured bacterium. RNAcentral's name for it is "partial 16S ribosomal RNA". It matches the Rfam family "Bacterial small subunit ribosomal RNA", at positions 524 to 777 of the family's 1533-position model. The record is from RNAcentral.